Carboxydothermus hydrogenoformans Z-2901 is the source of this 38-nucleotide regulatory RNA element. It matches the Rfam family "Selenocysteine insertion sequence 4". Lineage: Bacteria; Bacillati; Bacillota; Clostridia; Thermoanaerobacterales; Thermoanaerobacteraceae. The record is from Rfam.
GGUACCUGCACUCGCUGCGGUGCAGCGAUGGUCAAGGA